UACGGAGGUUGCAAGCGUUAUCCGGAAUGAUUGGGCGUAAAGCGUCCGCAGGUGGCUAUGUAAGUCUGCUGUUAAAGAGUGAGGCUCAACCUCAUAAAAGCAGUGGAAACUACAUGGCUAGAGUGCGUUCGGGGCAGAGGGAAUUCCUGGUGUAGCGGUGAAAUGCGUAGAUAUCAGGAAGAACACCGGUGGCGAAAGCGCUCUGCUAGGCCGCAACUGACACUGAGGGACGAAAGCUAGGGGAGCGAAUGGG
This 253-nucleotide ribosomal RNA is filed under the name uncultured bacterium. Its description in RNAcentral is "partial 16S ribosomal RNA". It matches the Rfam family "Bacterial small subunit ribosomal RNA", at positions 524 to 776 of the family's 1533-position model. The record is from RNAcentral.